RNAcentral lists this ribosomal RNA (297 nucleotides) under uncultured eukaryote. RNAcentral's name for it is "partial 18S ribosomal RNA". It matches the Rfam family "Eukaryotic small subunit ribosomal RNA", at positions 1470 to 1796 of the family's 1831-position model. The record is from RNAcentral.
CCCUUAGACGCUCUAGGCGGCGCGCGCGCUACAAUGGGUGGUAGAACGUGUAACUGCUCCCGAAAGGGAGGGUGAACCACGAAUACUUACCCGUGAAUGGGAUAGUUUGUUGCAAUUUUCGGACUUGAACUAGGAAUCCCUUGUAAGAAUGCUCAAGAAUAGCGUGCUGAAUACGUCCCUGCCGUUUGUACACACCGCCCGUCGUUUCUUCCGACUGAUACUCAUUGUGAGUUGCAAGGAUUCUUAUUGAAAAAUUGCUGCGAAUGCUUUGUAUUGGAGGAAGAAAAAGUCGUAACA